This is a non-coding RNA of Parasteatoda tepidariorum (common house spider), 3429 nucleotides long. The record is from RefSeq and is a predicted model, not a curated record. NCBI's taxonomy places the organism in Eukaryota, Metazoa, Arthropoda, Arachnida, Araneae, Theridiidae.
AAACCCUGUACACAUGGUCAGUGACCCACCACAAGCCUUUUUCAUUCCACAGAUUUUAGGAGCAUGUACUCAAUGGGUCAUAGAUCUGGUCCCACCCUCCAGAACGGAGUUCGAUUCUCUUACCACUGGGCUACCACGUCCCCUUUGAUGACGGAAAACUGAUAAUUUAACCAAACCAUUCAAGGUUGAAUGUGUCAACUAUUCUUUUGUCGCACAUUGUCACUACAGUGAAGUUAAGUGAAAAGGUAAAAUAUUACUAACAAAUAACUGCAAUUCGAAGAAUUUUAAACUGUAACAUAGCUUAGAUAUUCUUUAUGACUGAAACUUGCUGCAACCAUUGAAACGAUUUUAGUUUGUAAAUUACAGUAAUUUGGAAAUUGUAUUUUAGUUUGAUUCCAAAUUAUUAUGAAUUGAUAUUAGUUUGAAAAUUAUUAUUUCUAGUUUGGAAAUGGUAGGUGUUUUAAAAAGUGACAAUCUUAUCAUAAUUUAUCUUGAUCAUUUCUUGUUUUUUGAAUGGAUGCUUAAAGGGGCAGAUUUAAGAUGCGACAGUACUUUACGAAGUCCAGAAUUUAUUACUAAAGGAGGGAAGACUUCAUUUCUAGAAUUCAAAUUUAAAUAUAGUGGCCCUCUUUCUUUGAGUUUGUGGAAUCCAAAGUUCGUAGAAAAUGGACGUUCUGUGCUUACCAUGAUUGACGCAAAUAAUUCAACUAUUUGUACGAAAAUUAAGGAGCUAGGUUAUAUGAAUUCUAAAAAAUUUGAUUUAAUUGCUGAGAAUUCGGUUUCAGAAUAUAGGGGUCGAAAUAUUAGAGUAUCUUGCACCGUAAUGGCAUCUGACCUGGAAAAUGAAACGAGUGAUGCAAUGGAAAAACUCAGCUUGGACUUUAAAACAAUUUUCGACAAAGCAAUUGACACCGACAUAGUCUUAAAAGUGGAUGAGGACAAUAUUAAAGCUCACAAACUGGUAUUGCAAUCACGCUCCCCUGUAUUCCGGAAAAUGUUCGAUACCGAUUCGAGAGAAGCUGCCGAAAACGAAGUUGUCGUUUCAGACAUCGGAUCAGCUACAAUGAAGAGACUCGUCAACUUUCUGUAUUCUGCUGCAAACGAAACUGGGAAUUUUGAAGAGACCUUGGAACUGUACUACGCGGCUGACAAGUACGGAGUGCUGUCUUUACGAGAAGUUUGCAAGAUGGAAUUGCUAAGCCACCUUAACACCAUGAAUGCAUGUUCUCUCUUUACCUUUGCUAAAAGACAUAACGAUGAGGAUUUUAUGGAUAAAGUUGUGCGGUUCGCGAGUGCUAACUCUAAGUCUGUUUUUAAUAUGGAUUCAUUAAAUGAUAUGAGCAAAGAUGAUGUGGUAUUACUUAUAUCUUUGUGUGUUCCUAAUAUAAAAUAAGCAGAGUCAAUCUGAAUCCAAAAUAUUAAACUCAAUAUGGAUUAAUUAUUUUGUUUUUGUAAAUUCCAAUUAAUAAAUUUAUCACUUUUCAAAUUUGCUGUAGAGUUUUCAUCGAAGAAUAAAGUCUUGUUUUUUGAAGCAUGAAGUAAAGGAGACUGAUUAAAAAAGGAGACAUUGUUUUGCUCGAGUUACAGUUUUAUAUUGUGUUUUGCCUGCAGAACGAUAUCACAAUGGAUAUGGCUGACGUAUUUGAGAUCAUUGCGAAUAACGACAAUGUAUGCCUGGCAGAUUUUGUACGUCCUUAUUAUCCACAUUCGGAUGACGAAUUUGAAACUCUAUCGGACGAAGUGACUCAAAAUGACAUUUUCUUGAUUUAUUCCGCAUUCCGGCGCUACAUGCAUCACUGUCCAAGAAUAAAUAAAGAGUCCAAGUCACGUGGUGAAGAUUUUUUUCGUGUCUACGAAGAUCUUGAUAAUUGGGCUAAAGGAUUUUAAGCAGACGAUAUGAUCCUUAACGAGAAUAAAUAUUUAGUGAGAGGGGACGUUAAAGAACAAUACGAUCCAGAAGACAACACCUUAGUAAAUUUUAAUAGAUACGCAGAAAACUUUCAGAAUCUUUCUGAUGUUGUGGAUGCUCACAUCCAUGGCACCGAAAAACACGAUCCAAAUUACGUAUGGUCAUCUUUAUUUGAAAAAACAAGUUGUUUCGGUGAUGAAAGGAGCUUCAAACAUUACUCUUUUGAAAACUACAUGCAUUGGAUGCCUGCUUCUCUGAAGGAAGCCAUCUUGACGGUGCGUACUUCAGAACGAGUGAAAUGGUGCGUAUAUUUGCUUUUUACUUACCAUUAUGAGAACGAGUGUGGCUUGUUCGUUUCCUGCGCUCUUAAACUUUGUUUAAGAGCCUUUGACUUAUGUGAGCAAGCGUUCCGUGUCUAUGGAUUUGAAACUUUUGCUAAAUUGAUGCGUUAUGUAUAUCUCAUUAAAGAAUGCGAAUGUGAUACUCAAGUACUUUUAAGUUGUCUGCGUGUGCAUUGUAUUAGUCAUCACAUUGAAGACCGCCUUUUUAAGAAGCCUUUACUUUUAAAAUUCAUUCUGGGAAAAAUACAAGCUGGAAAAGCCAAAAUUCCCGGUGAACUCAUGAGCAUCUCUCCUUAUUUUGAUCCUCGUUUAAAGUAUAGACCAAAUGCUGAUAGGUUCUUCUUGGAAGACUUGGAUACUUUUUUAACUUUACUAGAAUUUGGAAUCAGCACUGACUUCAACGCAUUCAUAUACUGUGAUAUUAAAGAGAAGAUUCGAAUCAGUGUUGCUGAAAGAAGAUGCUUCCGGGAACUCAGCUUAAAAGAGAGCAAUACGUGUAGAUAUCGGUGCGUCCAAUUGGUUUACUUAUACAGUUGUACACCAGAUCUUCAGAGCAGUGAAAAAGAUGAAGCCUUGCAAAUUCUCUGGGCUUCUAUACUUGACCCCUUUUUAACUAAACUAGACAUGUGGCUUAGUUUUCUGGUUGAUGGAAUAACUACAAUUCCUAAAGACGCGAGGAGAGCUUGGCGGUGGUACGACAAUAUUGUGGCUAAAGGAGAGAGUCGAUACAGAUCACCAAGAUCCUUGCAGCAUUUGGCUAGAUGUGCAAUACGUCAUCGCUUAACAAGUUAUUUCCGUCUUCCUAUUGGUGUUGACUCACUUAUGUUGCCACAAAAGCUCAAAGACUACUUACUGCUUAAAACAUAAAUGAGUUUUCACUACAGGAAGUUCGACUGCAGAUAUUCAAAAGUACAAGCAUAGGUUUUAAUUCUUUUCUAGUGGAAAUAAGAUUCUACUGUUUUAAUGGAAGCUGAAAUAAUAAAAAAUUAAAAUUAGGGCAUAAAGUCUAUGGAACUGAAUAUGAACAAUAAGCUUCCUUAAACCGGAAGAAAUUUAGAAAACUUCCGGUGUAUUACUCCGCCUAUGUUAUGCUUACGAGCUGAUGUGUGAACAGGUUUAAUACUCUAGGAAGUUUUAUUAUUGAGAUUUGUGCUUGAAUUAAAGCGUAAUUUUACCAUU